GACGAACGCUGGCGGCGUGGAUUAGGCAUGCAAGUCGGACGGUAGAGCUUUAUCGUAAGAUAGAGUUUGAGAGUGGCGAACGGGUGAGUAACACGUAGGAAUCUACCCUUAAGACGGGGACAACCCAGGGAAACUUGGGCUAAUACCGGAUGAGAGUGCGAGAGAUUGCAUUUAAAAGGAUGGCGAAAGUUGUCGCUUAGGGAUGAGCCUGCGGUCUAUUAGUUAGUUGGUGAGGUAAGAGCUCACCAAGGCGAUGAUAGAUAGGCGGCCUUAACGGGUGGUCGCCCACACUGGGAUUGAGAUACGGCCCAGACUCCUACGGGAGGCAGCAGUCGAGAAUAGUCUACAAUGGCCGGAAGGCUGAUAGUGCGACGCCGCGUGAACGAGGGAGCCCUUCGGGUGUAAAGUUCUUUUGCAGUGGAAUAAAGUUUGCCACGAGUUGGCGAUUUGCAAGUACGCUGCGAAUAAGGAUCGGCUAACUCCGUGCCAGCAGCCGCGGUAAGGCUACGU
This 510-nucleotide ribosomal RNA is filed under the name uncultured bacterium. RNAcentral's name for it is "bacterial SSU rRNA". It matches the Rfam family "Bacterial small subunit ribosomal RNA", at positions 28 to 528 of the family's 1533-position model. The record is from RNAcentral.